AGGUUUUAAUAUGACGACACUUUUUAAUUCGUAUCCCGCUUAUUCGACAUAUGUCGAAUUAAAAAGUGUUCAAAUGUCUCAGCGAUGUACACUGUAAAUGUAAAACAGAUUUAUAUUGCGCUUAUACUCGCACCCGUAGCAGCUCCUCUUGCAGCCGGUAAUUCCGGAAGUUCUGAUUUGAUGCUAUUCGACAUCCAAACCGGCUGGAGUCCAACCGGAACGAACUGAGGAUGACAACAACCGUAGAAAGAACGAGCUUUUCAUUAGCUCCACCGCAGUAUCUGUUGAAAUUAUGUUUCAUAACAAAUCCGGAAAUCAAAACAAAAACAAAAAUAGAGUUGCCAAAUUUCAAUGAGCAUGGAGGUGUAGGGUAACCAGUUUGUCGAAUUAAAAGUUUACCCGGUUAUUCGACAACAGUCCGUGUCGUAUUAGCGGGGUAAUACGGUAUUAGUUGCAGAGCGAAGGCCGCUCAGAUGCACCGAAUUUAUUCAUCGAUAGCGUAACAACCCGCAUAGCAAAAAACACUUUGACUUGUGGUUUCAACAUCAAACAUGACAUAAGUAAUACUGUAACCACAACUGUUGCUGUUUACUUAUGAUUUCAUACAUUGUUUUUAUCGAUGUUAAACUGUAUAGAAUAUUUACUCAACAAUACCAUUUUCAGUCAAAAAUAUACCAUAUUGUAGUUAAAUUAUUAUUGACUAUCCAUGUGCUUGAAUCUUAACAUUUCGCAACAAUAAAAACGGCAUACAAUUUGUUCUACAAGGUGUAACAUCAUGCUAAAUGGUAUACAUGUUUUCAUUUGUUUUCCAUUUGCUAACUGGAAAAACACCGCCGCCACGAACACAUCGAAAUAUUACAUUGUUCCACUUUUAUUGGACCAUACGUCAAAUUGUUAUGCAGUAACUGGAGUAACUGUGCGCGUUCCGGAUGAGCCUUUAGUAUUAAGUUUUGUUUUUGUAAUUAUUGCUUUUUUUGAAAAGAUGAAGAGGUUUUAUGCCUCUUUGAGAACGAUUUCGAAAUGCAAGGAAAUCACUCAAAGGGGCUUUUCCCUCUUUCAAAAUUAUAAGUUAAAUAAACAACAACAACAACAACUGUGCGCGUGUGUUUUUUUUUCGCAAAUUUUCUUGCCUCAUGCGAGUUCUUCAAAAUCGAACGUGCAAAAUGGUGGUGUGCGGCUCGGUGUCCGAGCUUUCGCAAACUAAUUCAAAACUGCGGCUACCCAGAGACUAAUUCCUGCUACGGUGAAACUGUCUGGAGUAAAUAAUUAGGGGAACCACCAACAAAGUGUACUGCAAAAACCAACCUGACAAGCACCAAAGCUAUGAUGACUCUUCUGUUGAGGCGGCAAUCUCAUUCAGACCGGAAAAGUGAAUUUUGAGAUCCCUGACAAAACGUUCCUGCGGAAGAAGCCCCAACGAUGCGGGGGAUGUCCACAAUGACAAAGAACCGAUGCUGGAGUAAACUUCUGGACAAACUUCAGAGUGUAUGCUGGCGCGAAAACUAAGUAUCAACGAACUCAAAUCGGAAGAGGAUUUAGAUGAGCAGCAGCUCACAGAUUAAUUCCUAGUGGCGACGAAAUUCGGUCGGAGGACCUGCUUUGGCGUUACGGAGAAAGCUGUUGUUGCUGAGAACAUGCUACGGUCACCUGAUAUCUAAGCUUAUGCAAAUCACUGCUUGAAAUAGCGAAUUUCCCCUGGAAUUUCCCCUCAAGUUUCAAAUAAUUAAUUAUUUUCAACAAAUCAGAUUAUUUCAAGGAUAAUUUCCCAGUUUAAGCAAGAGCUUCCAUCAGCUUUACCUUUAUAAGAUAAAUAAUCGCCAGUACCAGAUAAUUGUAAUACUAUGUAGCAAGAAUAAAGCAGUUAUUAAAAAAACAGCAAAUUUCUCGUAAUUCAUUAUAUUUAUGAUGUUAAAAAGACAAAAAAACAGUAUAGCAUAUUGUUCUGAAUAACAUAUUGCACAUUAAACGAACUUAUUCAUUUAGUGUAAUUGAUUUCUCACUGAAUUUAUGGUUUUAUUACAUUUUAACAAUUUGACUAACUGUAAUUGUUUCGAAAAAUGAAUUAUAUACCCACCCUGUGGCAUAUUGUUUUGCGAAAAUUUUGUUCGAGAAAAAAGCUGAUUUUUUAUUGUAACCUAACUUAACAGCCUAUUCGCCAUAUUGUCAUUUGGCCCAUUACAAUUUGCCAAGGGGUAUGUUACAAUAUACCAACCCUAUCACCUAAUGUGAUAGCGGAUAAUAUGGGAUAUUGCACAGGUAUAGCCGUAAAUGGUUGUCGAUAAUAUGCAUAAUAGUAAGUAUAUAAUUUACAACUAUGCGGGAAGUUCCUUGUUCGUGACACCCGGGACAUUGACGAUUUUGUUUCGCAUGUCUUAUCCUCACGCAAAAACGGCUAUACGCUCAAAAAUGUGUUCGGCCUGCACAUUUUUAGUAAACAUCCAUGCCGCACGGCUGUGUUGGGAACACACAUUAUUUUUAAAUUGCUCGUACGCUCACAUGAGCAUGUAUUUUGCAAUAAUUUCGACAUGGCAACCUCACUGGGU
This is a long non-coding RNA of Aedes albopictus (Asian tiger mosquito), 2543 nucleotides long. RefSeq lists it as uncharacterized. The transcript is spliced from 3 exons. NCBI's taxonomy places the organism in Eukaryota, Metazoa, Arthropoda, Insecta, Diptera, Culicidae. The record is from RefSeq and is a predicted model, not a curated record.